This is a long non-coding RNA of Zea mays, 145 nucleotides long. RefSeq lists it as uncharacterized. NCBI's taxonomy places the organism in Eukaryota, Viridiplantae, Streptophyta, Magnoliopsida, Poales, Poaceae. The transcript is spliced from 3 exons. The record is from RefSeq and is a predicted model, not a curated record.
UGUAGCCGUGAACGUGCAGAAUGGCGAGGAGGUGGCUGUCAAACUGGAAUCAGUCACAUCACGACAUCCACAGCUUCACUAUGAAUCAAAACUAUACAUGCUUUUGCAGGGUGGAACUGGGAUUCUGCAUCUUAAGUGGUUCGGG